CGGUAAUUCCAUGCUCCAAUAGCGUAUACUAAAGUUGUUGCAGUUAAAAAGCUCGUAGUUGGAUUUCUGCGGGGACGGAGCGGCCGGUCGCAACUUGCGACUCGAGCUAGCGCUUUCCCCGCAUCCUGCUGCGAACCGUGCUACCAUUAGUUUGGUGGCGCUGGGGAUCGGCUCGAUUACUUUGAGAAAAAUAGAGUGUUCAAAGCAGGCCACACGCCUUGAAUAAGUUAGCAUGGAAUAAUGACUAAGGACUUUGGUUCUUUUCGUUGGUGUUCGGGACUGAAGUAAUGAUUGAUAGGGACAGUUGGGGCGGUCCGUAUUCCAAAGCGAGAGGUGAAAUUCUUAGACCUUCGGAAGACGAACAGCUGCGAAAGCGUUCCGCAAGGAUGUUCCCUUUGAUCAAGAACGAAAGUUGGGGGAUCGAAGACGAUCAGAUACCGUCGUAGUCGCAACUAUAAACUAUACCAGCUAGGGAUCGGCCAACGUUUAAUUAUUCGACUUGGUCGGCACCUUAUGAGAAAUCAGAGCAUCUGGGUUCCGGGGGGAGUAUGGUCGCAAGGCUGAAACUUAAAGGAAUUGACGGAAGGGCACCACCAGCCGUGGAGCCUGUGGCUUAAUUUGACUCAACACGGGAAAACUUACCAGGUCCGGACAUAGUAAGGAUUGACAGAUUGAUAGCUCUUUCUUGAUUCUGUGGGUGGUGGUGCAUGGCCGUUUUUAGUCGGUGGAUGUGAUCUGUCUGCUUAAUUGCGUUAACGGACGAGACCCCAGCCUGCUAAAUAGCGCGGCCGAGCUUUGCUCGGUGCGAGCUUCUUAGAGGGACCAUGAUGCGCGAUAGCACAAGGAAGUUUGGGGCAACAACAGGUCUGUGAUGCCCUUAGAUGUUCUGGGCCGCACACGGGCUACACUGGCGCCUGCAACGAGCAUAUCAGCUGGCCCGAGAGGGUCUUGGCUAAUCUUUGGAACCGGCGCCGUGCUUGGGAUUGACCAUUGCAAUUGUUGGUCACGCAACGAGGAAUGCCUUGUAAACGCGAGUCAUCAGCUCGCAUUGAAUACGUCCCUGCCCUUUGUACACACCGCCCGUCGCUCCUACCGAUGAAUGUUCCGAUGAAAUUUUCGGAGAGCACCAGAGAACGGGGCUCUGCCUUGCAGAUCUGGAGGCUCAAAGUCACUUAAAUCUGAACAUUUCGAGGAAGGAGAAGUCGUAACAAGGUAACC
RNAcentral lists this ribosomal RNA (1218 nucleotides) under uncultured Rhizaria. RNAcentral's name for it is "SSU rRNA". It matches the Rfam family "Eukaryotic small subunit ribosomal RNA", at positions 577 to 1804 of the family's 1831-position model. The record is from RNAcentral.